This 460-nucleotide ribosomal RNA is filed under the name uncultured bacterium. RNAcentral describes it as "partial 16S ribosomal RNA". It matches the Rfam family "Bacterial small subunit ribosomal RNA", at positions 338 to 795 of the family's 1533-position model. The record is from RNAcentral.
CCUACGGGGAGCAGCAGUGAGGAAUAUUGGUCAAUGGACGAGAGUCUGAACCAGCCAAGUAGCGUGAAGGAUGACUGCCCUAUGGGUUGUAAACUUCUUUUAUAUGGGAAUAAAAUGUUCCACGUGUGGGAUUUUGUAUGUACCAUAUGAAUAUGGAUCGGCUAACUCCGUGCCAGCAGCCGCGGUAAUACGGAGGAUCCGAGCGUUAUCCGGAUUUAUUGGGUUUAAAGGGAGCGUAGGUGGAUUGUUAAGUCAGUUGUGAAAGUUUGCGGCUCAACCGUAAAAUUGCAGUUGAAACUGGCAGUCUUGAGUACAGUAGAGGUGGGCGGAAUUCGUGGUGUAGCGGUGAAAUGCUUAGAUAUCACGAAGAACUCCGAUUGCGAAGGCAGUUCACUGGACUGCAACUGACACUGAGGCUCGAAAGUGUGGGUAUCAAACAGGAUUAGAUACCCUGGUAGUC